GACAUAUUAUCUUACAGCUGCGUGGGUUUCAGUGGAAGUAUCAGCUCGGAAUGAACGUAACUUAGCAAUUUCGAUUGAGAAACAACUGGAGGGGCAAGUCCUGGUGCCAGCAGCCGCGGUAAUUCCAGCUCCAGUAGUUGCUUAAAGUUGUUGCGUUUAAAACGCUCGUAGUUGGAUCACGCAGCAGUGUUCAGUAAUCUAUUCACAAGGAAGGUGAUGGUUGUGCUCGUCUCUGACGACGUAACUGAUCCUUACUUUGGUAGAUGUUUAAGCUGACCGCUGUUAAUUGCACGUGAGAUGGAUCGUUGACCUUUAAUGUGUCGGUAAUCCCGUCUUGCGGAGUGUGCCUUGAAUAAAACAGAGUGCUUAAAGCAGGCUUAUGCCUGAAUGUUAUAGCAUGGAACGAACAAUCGUGUCUACGUGCACAUUUCUCAUAUGAUGAUUGGCCUAUGGUUAGUUAUUGUUGGGAGUGUGUACAUCACCCACCAAAGUAUGGCUGUUGGUUCCAUAUACGGUGAUGAUUAACAGGAGCGGUUGGGGGCAUCAGUAUUUGGCCGCGAGAGGUGAAAUUCUUGGACCGGCCAAGGACUAACAAAUGCAAAGGCACUUGUCCAGACCGUUUCCAUCAUUCAAGAAGGAAACCGCGUGCUUUGCAGAGGAUCAGAUACCGUCCUAGUUCCCACUGUAAACUAUGCCGACAUGAGCGCGUUCAACAGCUACCACAUCCUCCCAAGGGGUCCGCCUAGGGAACAACACGUUUCUGGGUUGGAGCGAGAGUGCCCAAAAGUAGCUAUACAGGUCUCGACUGCGGCCUUGUUAUCUCCUGUGGGUGUGCCAAGCCCCUGGUAGAGGACCACGCGGAGGGCACAUCUGCAGCCCGCCGCCGGAAAGAUUCACCGAUCAAUAGAUCCAAGUAAAGCUGACGACAUUUUGAAACGGUUUGCCU
RNAcentral lists this ribosomal RNA (946 nucleotides) under Myxobolus sp. RNAcentral's name for it is "SSU rRNA". The stretch from base 1 to 768 matches the Rfam family "Eukaryotic small subunit ribosomal RNA", at positions 469 to 1116 of the family's 1831-position model. RNAcentral also lists the same sequence under 1 other name. The record is from RNAcentral. Lineage: Eukaryota; Metazoa; Cnidaria; Myxozoa; Bivalvulida; Myxobolidae.